Molecule: long non-coding RNA, 310 nt
Filed under: Brassica rapa (field mustard)
Lineage: Eukaryota; Viridiplantae; Streptophyta; Magnoliopsida; Brassicales; Brassicaceae
Description: long non-coding RNA (BRAP_LNC008800)
Source: RNAcentral
UUGGUCCGCAUCUCGGUCCAAUUACGCGCUCUCCACACUGGCCCGGACUUGGCAACGUCUCGAUCCCACCACGAAAGAGCAUUGUCCGUCAGCUGGGCUGCUGCUAGGGAAACCUUCUUGGCCUCACUAUAUUGGUAAUAGUCGAAGAUGUACUCCAUGCGCUUCUCCCACACGAUGUAGGCAUCUGGAUCAACCUUGCCAGCAAACGUUGGGGGAUGAAGCUUAAGAGCCUUGCCUCCCAACCAAGGCUCUUCCUCCUCUCGGUCUCGACCUCCCCUAUGGUCGCGGCCUCCUCCUACUUGGGCCCGGG